Molecule: long non-coding RNA, 769 nt
Filed under: Mus caroli (Ryukyu mouse)
Lineage: Eukaryota; Metazoa; Chordata; Mammalia; Rodentia; Muridae
Description: predicted gene 15650 (MGP_CAROLIEiJ_G0003658.1)
Source: RNAcentral
ACGGCAGCUCUAUUUACAACAGCAUCCCAACCCAACCAAGGAAACCAGCAGGUGAGCUGUCUCCCCUGGUAAAGCCACUUGCCACCUUUUGAGCCUGAUAAUUUGCAUUCAAUCUCUGGGACUGGGAUGCACAGGCCAGGCCCCUGAGGGGAAGUAUCUGACCACACGGUCCCCAAAGGCUUCCCAAACUCUCUCCCAGCUCUGAGCCUGGCAGUCUUUCCCUGGUGGCUGAUUCUGGUGCUGACUGUCAGGAUUUCCCGGCUUAUCUGCAUGCUCUCUUCUGGUUUUCCUGCCCAGGCCUCUCUGGAAGGAGAGCUGUAGGGAGCAGUGGGUUCCUCAGGCCCAUGCCCCACCCAACCCUCCCUUCCUGGGAGGACCAUUUCCUGUUUGUGAGUCAGUACCAGACCACCAGGCUCCUCCUCCUCUUCAGCCAGGGGCAGAAGGACCAAAUGACAGGUCUAAAAUCUCCUCCGCAGGCCCUGUUCUCUCUUGGCCAGUGGGCAAGCCCAUGGAUACACUCUGGAUCUGGUCUUCAGGGCUACAGCCGCCCGGAGGCUCCUCAGGGCCCUGCCCCAUGCCAGGUCAAGACGAGCAGAGACUGGCAAUCCAGGGUACCCAGCACCUCCAAGAUCCAGCAGUGGGCUUCACUUGCCAUAGGUGACCACAGGACAGUCUGCUGUACAGAGGCUGCUAUUUCUGCCCAGAGAACCCAAGCCCUUUGCCAAGUGAAUCCCCAUGCAACUCUUCAGAGCUUGACUUGGCCACUUCU